This is a non-coding RNA of Salvelinus sp. IW2-2015, 796 nucleotides long. The record is from RefSeq and is a predicted model, not a curated record. NCBI's taxonomy places the organism in Eukaryota, Metazoa, Chordata, Actinopteri, Salmoniformes, Salmonidae.
AAGAGGAUGAUGAAGAGGAAGAGGAAGACAAAGAGUGGAAAUAUCUGAUGAAAUUCGAGCAACAGUUAUAGACCAUGUUCUUGUCCAUGGACUYACAAUGAGGGAAGCAGGACUUAGAGUGCAACCCAAUUUGAGCCGAUUUUCUGUGUCCACCAUAGUAAGGACAUUCAGAGAAGAGAACAGAAUUGCAAGGCUGCCACAUGCAUGUGGAAGGACAGRUAUAUUCACUCGGAAGCAAGAGGCCGUUAUAGUUGGCAUGGUCCUUCAAGAUAAUGCAAUACGACUCAGAGAAAUCCAGGAACGAGUGAUACAAGACAAACACACACUUCCAGGGAAUCGACAGUGUGAGRAUUUCCACAAUUGACCGUGUCCUCCAUCGUAACAGGAUGCGAAUGAAACAAGUAUACAGAGUACCUUUUGAGCGCAACUCACCAAGGGUGAAAGAACUGCGAGCUCAGUAUGUGCAAACAAUAUUUGACUUGGAAUCCUUGGACAGACCCCAUGAGUUCARRUUUGUCGAUGAAGCAGGCUUCAAUCUAACAAAGAGGAGAAGGAGAGGCCGAAACAUGAUUGGACAGUGGGCCAUUGUUGAAGUCCCUGGUCAACGAGGUGGCAAUGUCACAAUCUGUGCUGCUAUCAGCAACCAUGGUGUUCUACAUCACCAUGUUACACUCGGGCCAUAUAACACRCAGCACCUUCUAAGAUUUAUUGCCAAUCUAAGAAAUAUUUUAUUUGAGCAGCAGGUUCAAGAGCAGCAGGGUCAAGAGCUAAAUGAGAAUCCCAUUCCCACCUAUGU